CCCCGCCAACACAUCAAUGGAACCAGCCAGGCGCGCACUACCUCCACACACACAUGCGAAACGCAUCCUCUCUCUUCUGUACUCUGUUUUCACUGCGACACGACUCUCACUCCUAACGUGGACUGCUAGGAGAGAGUAGCUCGUCUGCUCUCGCAUCCUUGCCGGUUCUCAUCUCUCUUCUCCUUAUCAGAGGGGAGGGAGUCUGCGCCGGUCCAUCUCUUCGCAUCCUUGCUCAACCGUCGGAGUAGCCAAUGAGAGGCGAUGAAGAGUGCAGACCGGGAAGCAAACCGCCACAAGCAUCGAGGUUUCAUCUUGUCGUUUGCCUGCUCUUCUCCGCACUUAGGGCCUCUGACUCGCUUGCUACUUGACGUGUGUCCCUGCCCGCAUCCACCGAGCUGCACCUCCAUGAACAGGUACCCAACACACAGCUAAGGAGGCGGCGCAGCUCCACGUUUGCCUGCGCAUCUCUAUGUCUGAGUGUGCUGCUAUGCGUGCAGUGGCGCCGUGGCAGCCCGUGUGCACACUACAGCUAAAACUUCUCCUCCUAUCGCUGCUCUUUUCUGUGAGCUACUUGGCGCGUUUCUUUUCUAUUUGUGCUUCGCUCUGCAGCGCUGCCUUCUCGCCUUCCUCACGGCAAUUGUUUUUUCCGUCUUCCUCUCUCAUCCUGACAGGGGAGGGGACGGCACACCGCGCAGCGCGUGGUAUUUCAGGGGUCUGCACCCCAUUGUGUGGGGAGGCGAGGCAGCCUCCACUACCCCUGCCAAUGCACAAGCACCUCUGGUGGUGACAGGGUCAGGUGCCUGCGACGAAGGGAGGUCAGAGCGAUGCAUGGCUGCUGAUGCCGGCGCUCAGGCCCUGGAUGGCGUUGCGUGGGGGCGACCUGCGACGGUGAACGCGUCUGUGCAGCCCAUAUGGCCAGGCAGCGUGUGAGCGUGACUGGAGUGCUGCACCUCAUGCGCCCCUCGCUGGCCACUGGUGUGGGGAGCCUGAGCCGCCCCGCGGCGGGAUGCACGAGGUGGCGACCGGCAUAGUGGGGGCAACUGUGGUGCUGACUGCGAGGCGGCGGGUGGGUAGAGCUUGAGGGCAGGGGGCCGUGCUCGGAUGGCUGGGUCGGCGCACGACUGUGAUGCGUGUCGAGUGCUGCUUCGCGCGACGCGAUGGGCCUGCGACAUGCCGGGCGAGUAGGGUGGGCCUGCACUCAUGUUGUCUAGCAGUGCAUGAAGGCAUAGAAAAAAAAGAGGUCUUCUUUCCUUGACGUUAUCCUUUGUCGGUGCUUCCGGCAUGGUGGUGCAGCCGUAGCGGCAGCUGCGCGCCACCCCACCCUAUCUACUUUCUCCCUCAUCUCCUCUGCCAUCUCUUUCGUGCUUGCCACUUGUUCUUUGGCCUCUUCCCGAAG
This 1396-nucleotide unclassified non-coding RNA is filed under the name Leishmania donovani. Its description in RNAcentral is "gene:unknown". The record is from RNAcentral. Lineage: Eukaryota; Euglenozoa; Kinetoplastea; Trypanosomatida; Trypanosomatidae.